CCUGCCAGGUUUCUCUACCUAUGAAAUUCUCCAGGCCAGAAUACUGGAGUGGGUAGCCAUUCCCUUCUCCAGGGGAUCUUCCCAACCCAGGGAUUGAACCUGGGCCUCCUGCAUUGCACGCAGAGUUUUUAUCGUCUGAACCACACCAUGGAAUAGUCCUUCCUAAAAUUUCCAGAUGC
Long non-coding RNA from Cervus elaphus (red deer), 179 nucleotides. RefSeq lists it as uncharacterized. The transcript has 3 exons. The record is from RefSeq and is a predicted model, not a curated record. Lineage: Eukaryota; Metazoa; Chordata; Mammalia; Artiodactyla; Cervidae.